UUUUUUUUUUGGUAGCAUGUUGUACAGCAGAUGUUCUGGGCUUGCUCCAAAAAGGCAGAUAAUAGCAUGCAGAUGCAGGGAGUUCUGACACCAAAACAGAUGUGAUCUGAAGUUUGUAUGCUUGAAACCAAAAACAAUUAAAAUGUAUAAAUACAUAUCUAUGUAUUGACUAUAAGUCUGGAUUACUUUUUUUUUGGCUGUUAUACAGAUUUUCCAUAAGAUAAUGUAAGAUAAGUGACACCCUCUCAAACUAAUCACAGAAGUGCCAAGCUUUUUUUUAUUGUUAUUAUUUUUAACUAUAGCUACUUUUUUUCCUAAAUCCUGUGAACUAAAAACUUAAAUAAGCCUUAAAAUACUCACAAAAAGUCAAAAGCUUGGACGGAGUUCUUCCUCUCCUGCCUUCUGCCCACCCACCCAUAAUGGGCUUGCAAAGGUGACUGACGUUUCUGACCCACUCCCUGUAUCUCUUUGAUGCAUCUCGCUUUUCAAAGCAUAAUGCAAAAUCAGUACUUUGACCCUUGGCUGCUGAUGGCUAGUUACCAUCACAGAGCGUGCAGAAUCCCACGUAAUCUCAGGGGGUCGUGCACCGUAAUGACUCGUAGGCACACCGUGUGCACAAAGAUAAGAGCUUUGCAGGAAGCGCUGGUACCCGCGCUGUUCCUCUGGGCCUGCCCAGCUUGAGAAAGGUAGGAAGGUGUCUAGUUUAGGCCUCCCUCCCAAGUGCAGAGCUGUGCAGUCUGGCUUACCCUCUUCACCUUGAUUUAAAACUUAGGUAAUUCGGUUUGCAUAAGUGAAGUGACCUGAUGAAAAUCUCAUUGCUGCAUCUGAUAAUCAAGUUUAAAAGUUGUGUUGGGUAUUAGUAACAACAGAAGUCCAGUUACAACUGCUUACUCCAUCUUUGUUUAGUGGAAAUCCAUUUCCUGAGUUAACUUUAAGAGCCAAAACAGUAAGAAAAUGCUGCAGAUUUCCUGUGACUUAGAAAUCUCAUUUCAAUUAUAUUUCUUAUUAUGAUAAUGUUCAAUCCAACAGUUUCACAGAGAACUACAAUACUGUCAUAGUUUAAGCACCCGGGACAGAUAUAUUGUUUUCGUUGACAGUUAUUAUUAAAUGGUUUUAAACAGCUUUAACAUAAUCACAUUAACACUUACUACGUUAUGAGUUAAAGGUGCUGCACACAGGUAGUCACCAAUGAUAUGUGUUAUAAAUCUUAUCCUGAAAAAUCCCUGCCUGGCUUCAAGCAGGAGGAAGUUAGUGACAAUACUUUCAUGGCAAACCAAAAAUACUUGCAGCUGUAUUAUUGUCCUCAAAAAGUACUUUGCUUGGGAACAUAAUCCCCAAGUUUGUUAGGGUUCUGCUUCUAAAGCAAGAGUAACCCAUAACAGAAACACUAGUGGUUACCAAAAAUUAAAGUAAGUAAAAUCAAGUGGCUAUACAUAAACUACCUGUGUAAUAAACCUUUGAGAAGCGCUUCACAAACAGCAUUGUUAGUGUGUGAUGUGAUGUUCUAAAUCAGACCACAGUGGUCCCCAGCUACUAUGUACAUAUGUUCAGUGCUGGAGUAACUUUUUGAUUUACACCAGCGGUUUCAUAAAGAUUAUGAUUUCCUGACUGACUUUAUGCUCCACUCAUCCACUGUGGUGCGUAUGUGAAAAAAUACAUUCGCCUUCUGCCCUGCUCGUACACGAGGCUGGUGGCAGCACUGCUUGAACAGACACAGGCAUGAGCACUUUCUGUGGUGGCAGACAGGUAAAACAUGGGGUUUGGUAGGCGUUGAUUUCUACAUCCUGCCUUUGCUGUGCUUUGGGAAGUCUGUGUAGUGUUCAUCGCAAAGCAUCAUCAAAAGAAGAGCUGCUCAGCACUGCCUCCACUUCAUCCACUCUGUUUGCUCCAUUAUUUACCUAUUCACAUGGACAAGAAACUGCGGUAACUAUUGCUUGUUCCAGUUUGCUGCAUGAUCUCAUUGAUUUGACCCGAUCCUCCUAAAAGAGAAGUCUGCCUGGCAACUAACAGCCGUAUAGGUGCAUGUUAAAAGAAACAGAUUACUUAUGGCUGGAGUUUAACCAAUUUUUCUUACUAUGCAAAGAUGGGUAUUGCACAAACAAAUUUAAGACAAAUGUCUGAGGAAAUGCCAUAGAAUACUUGAAGUUAUGUUUUAAGCCUACUCAGUCAUGUUUUAUAUUCAUUAUUGCUUCCACUGUUACUCUUCCUUUUGAAAAUGAUUUGUAAUUAUUUUUUUAAGUGCACAACUUGAUGUUAUAAAUCAAGUUUUUGUUUCAAGUUAAUACUCAUUCAUAUCUUGUUGGCUGCUAAUGAAUGGAAAUUCAAUAGUCCUUGUUCUGCAUCUUAGCAAGAUGAGUAUUAAAAACGUCAUGAACGUGGAAUGG
This is a long non-coding RNA of Strigops habroptila (Kakapo), 2384 nucleotides long. The record is from Ensembl. Lineage: Eukaryota; Metazoa; Chordata; Aves; Psittaciformes; Psittacidae.